RNAcentral lists this long non-coding RNA (523 nucleotides) under Nicotiana benthamiana. Its description in RNAcentral is "long non-coding RNA (NBEN_LNC024800)". Lineage: Eukaryota; Viridiplantae; Streptophyta; Magnoliopsida; Solanales; Solanaceae. The record is from RNAcentral.
UUUUGGAUAGAAUUUUCGUGAACCAAAAGAUGUCCAAAAGUGAUUUUCUUUGCUUACUUAAGGGUGUCCUUUUAGAUUCUAAGAACACACUUAGUAAAACAUCUUACACUCAAAUAGAACGCCAAAAAACUUGAGAGAAAUCAGCUGAACAUCAAGAAAUAGUAGGCUGAAACUUGAGAGCCUUGAGUGAGUUUUCUGAGAAACAGAAAUACUUAAAAGAAUAAAGUUUUAUAAGUUAGUUUCUGGAUUUCUCUAUCUCUGAAAGUUAUCUAAGCUUUUGAGGUCUCUUCCGGGUCCUCUCUUUGGUUCUUGUUACUGAUGUUGCUGCUAGCUUUUAGUUGCUAGUUUACGGGUACUUUUGGCGGGUUUUCUAUUUCGUUUCUGGGUGUUUUCAUUGUUGUUUCUAUUGUUGUUCCUGCUCGUUUCACUGCUGUAUUUUAUUUCUACGACCCAAGUAAUCUUAUAUUUUUUUGUAACGAGACUUUAUAAGACAUUAAUAAAGAAGAUCUAAUGUUCGAAGUUA